The submitters of this non-coding RNA (80 nucleotides) gave its source as unclassified sequences. The record is from Rfam.
CUUGUGGACUGUUAUAGCAAAUGGGAGUAGUCUUUUUUCUUCAAGAAAUGAGGACAAAACCAGACAGGUUGAAGCAAGAA